Non-coding RNA from Aegilops tauschii subsp. strangulata, 286 nucleotides. NCBI's taxonomy places the organism in Eukaryota, Viridiplantae, Streptophyta, Magnoliopsida, Poales, Poaceae. The record is from RefSeq and is a predicted model, not a curated record.
CAGGUUAAUCAUCUGCUGCAAAUUGCCCAGAAGUAUCAAGCUGCUGCCAAUGAAAGUGGGCCUGCUAGGGUAUCGACCAAUGAUGCACAAGCCAUUUGCAACAUGUUUGCGUCAGCAUCACAACAACUAGCGAAAAAUCUAGACCACCACAGCUUAAAUGAACAUGGGCUUUCUAAAAGAUAUGUUCGGUGCUUGCAGAUAGCAGAGGUGGUGAAUAACAUGAAGGACUUGAUUGAUUUUAGCCACAAGAACAAGCUUGGCCCUAUAGGUAUGACCAUGCACAUUC